ACGAUUGACGGAGCGAAGCGACGUCAAAGCGUAUACAAAGUCGAGUCGGUUUAAGGAUACGUUCGUUGGGUAGGGGAGCGUUCUGUAAGCCUGCGAAGGUGGCCUGUGAGGGUUGCUGGAGGUAUCAGAAGUGCGAAUGCUGACAUAAGUAACGAUAAAGCGGGUGAAAAGCCCGCUCGCCGGAAGACCAAGGGUUCCUGUCCAACGUUAAUCGGGGCAGGGUGAGUCGACCCCUAAGGCGAGGCCGAAAGGCGUAGUCGAUGGGAAACGGGUUAAUAUUCCCGUACUUGGUGUUACUGCGAAGGGGGGACGGAGAAGGCUAUGUUGGCUGGGCGACGGUUGUCCCGGUUUAAGCGUGUAGGUGUGUGUUCCAGGUAAAUCCGGUUCACUUUAACACUGAGGCGUGACGACGAGGCACUACGGUGCUGAAGCAACAAAUGCCCUGCUUCCAGGAAAAGCCUCUAAGCAUCAGGUAACAUCAAAUCGUACCCCAAACCGACACAGGUGGUCAGGUAGAGAAUACCAAGGCGCUUGAGAGAACUCGGGUGAAGGAACUAGGCAAAAUGGUGCCGUAACUUCGGGAGAAGGCACGCUGACACGUAGGUGAAGUGAUUUACUCAUGGAGCUGAAGUCAGUCGAAGAUACCAGCUGGCUGCAACUGUUUAUUAAAAACACAGCACUGUGCAAACACGAAAGUGGACGUAUACGGUGUGACGCCUGCCCGGUGCCGGAAGGUUAAUUGAUGGGGUCAGCGCAAGCGAAGCUCCUGAUCGAAGCCCCGGUAAACGGCGGCCGUAACUAUAACGGUCCUAAGGUAGCGAAAUUCCUUGUCGGGUAAGUUCCGACCUGCACGAAUGGCGUAAUGAUGGCCAGGCUGUCUCCACCCGAGACUCAGUGAAAUUGAACUCGCUGUGAAGAUGCAGUGUACCCGCGGCAAGACGGAAAGACCCCGUGAACCUUUACUAUAGCUUGACACUGAACAUUGAGCCUUGAUGUGUAGGAUAGGUGGGAGGCUUUGAAGUGUGGACGCCAGUCUGCAUGGAGCCGACCUUGAAAUACCACCCUUUAAUGUUUGAUGUUCUAACGUGGACCCGUAA
This 1097-nucleotide ribosomal RNA is filed under the name Salmonella enterica subsp. enterica serovar Altona. RNAcentral's name for it is "partial 23S ribosomal RNA". It matches the Rfam family "Bacterial large subunit ribosomal RNA", at positions 1182 to 2238 of the family's 2925-position model. Lineage: Bacteria; Pseudomonadati; Pseudomonadota; Gammaproteobacteria; Enterobacterales; Enterobacteriaceae. The record is from RNAcentral.